CACAUUCCGAACCCGGAAGCUAAGACUCUUUGCGCCGAUGGUACUGCAGGGGGGACCCUGUGGGAGAGUAGGACACCGCCGGAC
RNAcentral lists this ribosomal RNA (84 nucleotides) under Cryobacterium zongtaii. The record is from RNAcentral. RNAcentral also lists the same sequence under 1 other name. Lineage: Bacteria; Bacillati; Actinomycetota; Actinomycetes; Micrococcales; Microbacteriaceae.